This is a long non-coding RNA of Pectinophora gossypiella (pink bollworm), 955 nucleotides long. RefSeq lists it as uncharacterized. The transcript has 2 exons. The record is from RefSeq and is a predicted model, not a curated record. NCBI's taxonomy places the organism in Eukaryota, Metazoa, Arthropoda, Insecta, Lepidoptera, Gelechiidae.
UAAUCCUAUUUAACUACUCUAAGAUAAAGCUUUAUAUAAGAAAAGUUAACAACAUAAUAUUAAAAUCCAUCUACCGUAAAUUACUGCCAAAAAAUCUCGUUGACUGAGUUGGACGGAGGUCCGUGUUGCUCUAUGGCUAGCCGUAGGCGUAGGAUCUCUACUUGGUCUGUGCACGAGAGAAAUCCGUAGGACAAAUCGCUGUCAACCGGAGGAGGUCCGUGUUAAUAUCUACGCCAAAAACUAAAAAAAAAACUUAUGACCUGACAGCUGUCAAACAAAUAACCUCAAAAUCCAAAAAAUCUUACCUAGGUACUGGAUUAUUUCGUAUAUUCCAGAAGAAUAAUAAACUACAAUCAUGUUCCGUCUACCGUUCGGAGAGAGAGUCGAUCCCAUGGAAGAAAAGCGUCAAGCAAGGGAAAACACUAUCAACAGCGUGCUAACGUUUUGCGUUCUCUGCGCAACUAUAAGAAUUGCUCCAUUCAUCCUGGAACAAGGGGGGUUCACAGUGUGAUAUCACUAGAGACUUCAGACACCAAUCACGCCGCAGAUGUAUUAGACUGAAUUAAUUGUUAAUUUCAUAUAGUUAUAUAUUAUUAUGUAAUCCAAGUUAACCAUCAAGGAUAUAGUUUAUUGUAGUGCUCAAUCCAGUCAUGUUAGUUCUUAUUAGCAAUAUAAAUUAUUAGAUUGCUUUCAAAACAAUGCAUUUACAUUGGUUUAAAAAAUGCUUUCUGUUUACUUGCUCAAUAAACUUUAUUACAACUAUUUGAAUGAUUUUCUCAAUAAUAAUUUUAUAUAUGCUGAUGAAAUAAUAUUCAAUGAGUUCCAUUAUUUAUUUGUGCAAGACCAACAAUAACAUACCAAUGUAAAUGCAUGUUUAAUUUUAACUAUAUUAAAUGGAUGUAUAAAGAAAAGAAAGACCAUGAUCUUUUUUGUAAUAAAUUACACUGAAGUUUAA